UACAGGGGGGGCAAGCGUUGUUCGGAAUUACUGGGCGUAAAGGGUCUGUAGGUGGCCAACUAAGUCAGACGUGAAAUCCCUCAGCUUAACUGGGGAACUGCGUCUGAGACUGGUGAGCUUGAGUGCAGGAGAGGAACGCGGAAUUCCAGGUGUAGCGGUGAAAUGCGUAGAUAUCUGGAGGAACACCGGUGGCGAAGGCGGCGUUCUGGACUGCAACUGACACUGAUGAACGAAAGCCAGGGGAGCAAACGGG
RNAcentral lists this ribosomal RNA (253 nucleotides) under uncultured bacterium. RNAcentral describes it as "partial 16S ribosomal RNA". It matches the Rfam family "Bacterial small subunit ribosomal RNA", at positions 524 to 776 of the family's 1533-position model. The record is from RNAcentral.